UGGGGAAUAUUGGACAAUGGGGGCAACCCUGAUCCAGCAAUGCCGCGUGUGUGAAGAAGGUCUUCGGAUUGUAAAGCACUUUCGACGGGGACGAUGAUGACGGUACCCGUAGAAGAAGCCCCGGCUAACUUCGUGCCAGCAGCCGCGGUAAUACGAAGGGGGCUAGCGUUGCUCGGAAUGACUGGGCGUAAAGGGCGUGUAGGCGGUUUACACAGUCAGAUGUGAAAUCCCCGGGCUUAACCUGGGAGCUGCAUUUGAUACGUGUAGACUAGAGGGUGAGAGAGGGUUGUGGAAUUCCCAGUGUAGAGGUGAAAUUCGUAGAUAUUGGGAAGAACACCGGUGGCGAAGGCGGCAACCUGGCUCAUGACUGACGCUGAGGCGCGAAAGCGUGGGGAGCAAACAGGAUUAGAUACCCUGGUAGUCCACGCUGUAAA
Molecule: ribosomal RNA, 434 nt
Filed under: uncultured bacterium
Lineage: Bacteria
Description: partial 16S ribosomal RNA
Rfam family: Bacterial small subunit ribosomal RNA
Source: RNAcentral